UACGUAGGGGGCAAGCGUUAUCCGGAUUUACUGGGUGUAAAGGGAGCGUAGACGGCGGUGCAAGCCAGAUGUGAAAGCCCGGGGCUCAACCCCGGGACUGCAUUUGGAACUGUGCUGCUAGAGUGUCGGAGAGGCAGGCGGAAUUCCUAGUGUAGCGGUGAAAUGCAUAGAUAUCACGCAGAACUCCGAUUGCGAAGGCAGCUUACUAAGCCAUAACUGACACUGAAGCACGAAAGCGUGGGGAUCAAACAGG
Molecule: ribosomal RNA, 253 nt
Filed under: uncultured Blautia sp.
Lineage: Bacteria; Bacillati; Bacillota; Clostridia; Lachnospirales; Lachnospiraceae
Description: partial 16S ribosomal RNA
Rfam family: Bacterial small subunit ribosomal RNA
Source: RNAcentral